UACGGAGAGGGCGAGUGUUAUUCAUAGUGAUUGGGCGUAAAGGGCGCGUAGACGGCUGCUUAAACUUUUGAUUAAAAUCCCAUGGCGAAACCGUGGACAACAAAAGAAUUGUGCGGCUAAGAAUUUAUUAGAAGUUAACAGUACUUUCAGAGUAAAGGUAAUAAUUAUUGAUCCUGAGAGGACUCCCAAUAGCGAAGCAGUUAACUAUAGUUGAUUGACGUUGAGGCGCGGAGCAUGGGGAUCGAACAGG
Molecule: ribosomal RNA, 250 nt
Filed under: uncultured bacterium
Lineage: Bacteria
Description: partial 16S ribosomal RNA
Rfam family: Bacterial small subunit ribosomal RNA
Source: RNAcentral